RNAcentral lists this ribosomal RNA (449 nucleotides) under Blastenia sp. Its description in RNAcentral is "LSU rRNA". The stretch from base 1 to 286 matches the Rfam family "Bacterial large subunit ribosomal RNA", at positions 1002 to 1226 of the family's 2925-position model. Lineage: Eukaryota; Fungi; Ascomycota; Lecanoromycetes; Teloschistales; Teloschistaceae. The record is from RNAcentral.
GGUUGUAUGUCUAAAGGGAAACAGCCCAGAACAAGUGUUAAUAAGGUUCCAAAAUUAUUAUUAAGUGAAAUAAAGGUAGUUUAUGUCCUAACCGGCCAGGAAAUGGGCUUAGCAGCGGCCAUUUUUUAAAGACCUCGUAACAGAGCACUGGUUUCUCCUAAUUUUUAGGGUAAAUUAAGCAUAAAAAGUUAAAAUUUUUAAUUUAGUUUACAUGGAUAUAAGCACCGACGAUACAACGGAUCUAAAUAAUAUACCGAGACCUUGUCCAUAAUUAUAUAUAUAAUGUUAUAUAACCAGAGUAUAUUAAUUAAUUUUAUUUAUAUGCUAUAGAAUCAUACUAGGGCGGCGCAAACCCGGCUGCUAGUUGCAACAUAUAUACUGGAGUUAAUUUUUAUCUCUAGCAAGCCUUUUUAGCAAAAUCCAAGGGGAAUUAAUUUUAAUUAAGCGUG